Molecule: ribosomal RNA, 483 nt
Filed under: uncultured bacterium
Lineage: Bacteria
Description: partial 16S ribosomal RNA
Rfam family: Bacterial small subunit ribosomal RNA
Source: RNAcentral
GACGAACGCUGGCGGCGUGCUUAACACAUGCAAGUCGAACGAUGAUGCCCAGCUUGCUGGGUGGAUCAGUGGCGAACGGGUGAGUAACACGUGAGUAACCUGCCCCUGACUCUGGGAUAAGCGUUGGAAACGACGUCUAAUACUGGAUAUGACUACCGGCCGCAUGGUCUGGUGGUGGAAAGAUUUUUUGGUUGGGGAUGGACUCGCGGCCUAUCAGCUUGUUGGUUAGGUAAUGGCUCACCAAGGCGACGACGGGUAGCCGGACUGAGAGGGUGACCGGCCACAAUGGGACUGAGAAACGGCCCAGACUGCUACGGGAGGCAGCAGUGGGGAAUAUUGCACAAUGGGCGAAAGCCUGAUGCAGCAACGCCGCGUGAGGGAUGACGGCCUUCGGGUUGUAAACCGCUUUUAGUAGGGAAGAAGCGAAAGUGACGGUACCUGCAGAAAAAGCACCGGCUAACUACGUGCCAGCCGCCGCGGUAA